CAGUGUGACAUGUAUAUUCGGCUUGAAUUAUCCGAUGGUCAGGUAAAUCACAACCUGUUAAAAUGAGUUUUAUUUGACACCUGGUACACACGAAGUAGUUACACCACAGGUGUACACACUCCUUCCGAAAAUAUUAUUUACAAAUUAUAAAAUUAAAUAAUGUGUAGAAAAAAAAACUUAAUUUGUUUGAUAAAUAUCGUUUAUCAUGA
Molecule: long non-coding RNA, 209 nt
Filed under: Mytilus galloprovincialis (Mediterranean mussel)
Lineage: Eukaryota; Metazoa; Mollusca; Bivalvia; Mytilida; Mytilidae
Source: RNAcentral